Molecule: ribosomal RNA, 368 nt
Filed under: uncultured bacterium
Lineage: Bacteria
Description: bacterial SSU rRNA
Rfam family: Bacterial small subunit ribosomal RNA
Source: RNAcentral
GGAGGGUGCGAGCGUUAAUCGGAAUAACUGGGCGUAAAGGGCAUGUAGGCGGUGAGUUAAGUCAGAUGUGAAAUCCCCGAGCUCAACUUGGGAAUGGCAUUUGAAACUGGGUCGCUAGAGUUUUCUAGAGGGGGUAGAAUUCCAGGUGUAGCGGUGAAAUGCGUAGAUAUCUGGAGGAAUACCGGUGGCGAAGGCGGCCCCCUGGAGAAAGACUGACGCUGAGGUGCGAAAGCGUGGGAGCAAACAGGAUUAGAUACCCUGGUAGUCCACGCUGUAAACGAUGUCGAUUUGGAGGUUGCGGUCUUGAACUGUGGCGUCCGGAGCUAACGCGUUAAAUCGACCGCCUGGGGAGUACGGCCGCAAGGUUA